CCAGCCUCUACAGCCACAUUCUCCUUUACAGUUUUUGCAAAAUACUCUUAUACACCAUCUGAUUUAAUGCCACCAACAACUACAAGGUGUUGUCACGAUCACUUAGUGACAGAGAGAGAUGGAUAUUAUAGCUAAAAAAAAGGGCAGGGGCAAUAAUGGAACUUAAACUCAGUCUUCUGACUCCAAGCUCUGGGGUUUUGCCAUGAAUCAGCAGCUGCCAGGGACCAAAACCAGAGGCAGAGGUAGAAAAGUAAACAUUAAGUAGACAGGAACUGCACUCUGUGUGGGUUACAGUCAUACAUCCUCACAUGUCUGUUAGUGUGAAGAAGUGCACCAGUACCUCUUAAACUUUUAUAUCAAUGUGUCCUCAUGGCAGAAGGCAGCUUUUUUGUUAAAUCUCAGAAUUUAUCAGAAAGAGGACAACCCAAGUCUCAUUUCAGAGAGAAGUCUGGUAUACUCUUAGAAACCUAUGUGACUGUCUUCCCUAAGUACAUUAAUGCUUUUUCUCUCUCAAGGGAAUCAAGGGAAAUUGAUGCUUCAGAAAGAUCUCCCACACUUAUCCUGUGGCACUCAAAGUACCCCAGAUUGGGAUGAUAAGAGGAAGAUUCAAGCUGUCAAGUUCAAUUUCCCCAGAUCUAUUCCACAGAAGAUGAGCAAAUCUCACUCCAGCGACCAUUGACUGAAGGGCAGUCUGGUCCCAGAACCAUGAAGAAUUAGAAUAUGAGGUGGAGAACUGAGAAAAUAAUGUUAAAGUCUCUCUGGAGAGUAGAAGCCUGGGAGAAAAUCAAACCAAACCAAACCAAACCUGUUCUCCCAUUGCCACCCAGAGAUACUGUCAAUGUUUUGAGCUCACGGGGGAAUUGUAGGCUUUUCACGCUGUCAAUGUCUAUGUGAAGGGAGUAAGGCAGCCUGAAACCUCUUGCCCCUAGGUCCCAUAGUCCCCAUUCCCCUUCCAGCUGGAAAUUUGUGCUGUGACCACAGGAACCAGAAAUGGGGUGAGAAUGCUUAGGGGACUGGGUUGUAAGAUCAAAGGCCGGUCUUGAAGCAGUAAUGACAGUUCCUGGGGGGACUGUGACAUCACUACAUUCCACUCCUCCUAGGGGAGGGAGGGAACAACAUCAGUGUGAUGGCUGAGUCACCGAUUCACAAUGGAGCAGGGGGAUGUAGGGCUGGGACCCAGGUCCACGGAGACACCAGCCCAAAGAGCCCAGGGAGGUCGGGCUUGGGUCAGCAGGAGGGGAGAGCAGAGUCUGCAGCAGGAAGCCCGAGGAGUCACCAGCCCAAAGUCACCCAGGGAUGACUGGUGAGGGUGGGGCCUGGGGCUGGGGGACCCAGGUCCUUGGAGAGCGUUUCUCACCUCUGGAGGACUCAGCAUUCAAGGUGCCAUCUUGGAAGCAGAGAGCAGCCCUCACUAGACUACAAACCUGCUGGCGCUUUGAUCUUGGACUUCCCACCCACCAGAACUCUCUCCACUCCCUUCCUAGACUUUCUUCAUAGAGCCAGAAGAGGGUACCUGAAUUGGCCUGGACUGCUCAGCCUGUACGGUUCUGGGAGUGGGGUGGGGUGGAUGGAGUGAACUCAGCAGGCACCCCCAGCUCUGCUCUCCUGUGGUGUGACUGGAUCUCCAGGAGGGACUUCGACUUUUCCAGGUCUUAGCACUGAAGAUGCUUUGGUGCUUCUGCACAGGGGAGAAAAUUCAAAAUAAAAACAAAACCAUAAACCAUGCAAUACAACUUUUAUAUGGAUGCUAAAAAUAAAAUGUUGUUUUGUUUUCUUAAAGUUUC
Molecule: long non-coding RNA, 1784 nt
Organism: Homo sapiens (human)
Lineage: Eukaryota; Metazoa; Chordata; Mammalia; Primates; Hominidae
Exons: 3
Source: RefSeq, a predicted model, not a curated record